GUCUCUGGCCAUACCACACUGAAUGCUCCAAUCUUGAUCUCAUCUGAUCUCACAAGCUUCGCAGGAUCAGGCCUGGUUAGUAUUUGGAUGGGGACUGCCCAGAAAUACCAGGUGCUGUAGGCU
Panthera pardus (leopard) is the source of this 123-nucleotide ribosomal RNA. NCBI's taxonomy places the organism in Eukaryota, Metazoa, Chordata, Mammalia, Carnivora, Felidae. The record is from Ensembl.